AACUAACGCUGGCGGCGUGCCUAACACAUGCAAGUCGUACGAGAAAGUUGGCUUCGGCCGAUGAGUACAGUGGCGCACGGGUGAGUAACGCGUGGAUAAUCUGCCCUUAAGUGUGGAAUAACGUACCGAAAGGUGCGCUAAUACCGCAUAAUGCCUGGCAACAUAAGUUGUCCGGCCAAAGAAGGCCUCUGCUUGCAAGCUUUCGCUAAAGGAUGAGUCCGCGUACCAUUAGCUAGUUGGUGGGGUAACGGCCUACCAAGGCGACGAUGGUUAGCUGGUCUGAGAGGAUGAUCAGCCACACUGGAACUGAGACACGGUCCAGACUCCUACGGGAGGCAGCAGUGAGGAAUAUUGCGCAAUGGGGGCAACCCUGACGCAGCAACGCCGCGUGAAGGAUGAAGGUUUUCGGAUUGUAAACUUCUUUGAUGAGGGACGAUAAUGACGGUACCUCAAAAACAAGCCACGGCUAACUACGUGCCAGCAGCCGCGGUAAACU
RNAcentral lists this ribosomal RNA (496 nucleotides) under uncultured bacterium. RNAcentral describes it as "bacterial SSU rRNA". It matches the Rfam family "Bacterial small subunit ribosomal RNA", at positions 29 to 526 of the family's 1533-position model. The record is from RNAcentral.